Molecule: long non-coding RNA, 1249 nt
Organism: Centropristis striata (black sea bass)
Lineage: Eukaryota; Metazoa; Chordata; Actinopteri; Perciformes; Serranidae
Exons: 4
Source: RefSeq, a predicted model, not a curated record
UAUCGGUAGCCUACCUGAGAAAACUUUUUUGGAAAGACGGCUAUGGACCCAACCAACUUUAUUUGGGAGGGGAGAACUCCCUCACAUGGUACAACCCAUGCUGAGGCUGCGGUGUCAGAAUGCAAAACGUGUUUAGCGUACUUUAAGAGGAGAUGGACUAACGUGAAAAAUGUCAAAUAAAUAAAUAAAUAAAUUAUCGGCCGGCCCAAAAGUGAAGCGGCCCACCGGGAACUCUCCCGGUUCUCCCGAUUACCCACCCCGGGCCUGUCCCAAGGUAAUGUUAACGUUACCGUGAAAAAAGGUCUAUUAGUCAAUAACAUUAACGUUACUUCUUUACUCAGCACAGCUUCCACAAGGGUGCCGUCCAUUUAAUCUUUAUCCAACGCGCCAACACUUUGAAGUCGGUAUUUAAUGUGUUUUACACAGAUGGACUCCAGAGGGUUAAACUUACAGCGAAGGAAAACAGAGACUGUCCUCUCUCCCCCGACACACAUCCAACCUCAGGAAAUCGCUAUAAAUCUCUAUCAAAAAGGUCCAUUAUCGUUGGUGCUUGAAACUGAGCUGCUCCAGAAAGUGGAAUAUGGAUGAGCAGCUUGAGAUGAAAGAAAAGAGGACUGCGCUAGAUGAGAUCCAGCUGAUCACGGCGCCGGACUGAUUUCCUUUUGAUGAGCCACUGAGUAAUUCCAGUUUAUAUGUGUCGGCUUAGGAUGAUGUGGCACGGCCGUCUAUUCAUGAACAUUUCCUGGAAAACUUUUAAAAGAUCUCAGAACCAUUGCAUUUUUUUGUUCAGUAUCUUCAGAUAUUUAAAAUUGCUUUUAAAAGUUUCAGGAGAAUGAGUUAAAAGUUGUGACAGAGUCCUGACACUACCUUAUUCCACAAUCGAACUGUUGUGCCUUUUUUAUUUUCUCCCCGAUGUGCAAGCUCUCCGAAGGCCACUGUUGAAUGUUUUAAUCCUUCCUUUAGAGUGUUGAAUGUGAAUGUCAUUGAAUGUCCUUCAUGAAUUUGUCAUUGAUUUUUUCUUUUCCAUAAAGCAGUUUUCCUCAGGCUAUGUGCCAACCUCAGCCACAGGUAGCUGGUUCAAACAGGGGCCAGUUAAAUGAAAACUGCAUUUGAAUUUUUUUUGUUGUCAGAUAAUCCUUAUAAAAAAUGUAACAGCCAUAGUAUAAAUCAUUUUUAUUGGGUGCAUCCAAAAAAUAUAUAUAAUUGUAUAUAUAAGUAUAAUGUUUUUAAUUAUGUGAAAAUGGAGAGA